This is a small nucleolar RNA of Arabidopsis thaliana (thale cress), 88 nucleotides long. It matches the Rfam family "small nucleolar RNA snoR128". Lineage: Eukaryota; Viridiplantae; Streptophyta; Magnoliopsida; Brassicales; Brassicaceae. The record is from Rfam.
UUGCAAGGAUGAGCAAAAAUAUUUUUUGAAAGCAUUGUGCUUAAUGAGUCAGCGACUAUAAUGUCGACCUGAGCGGUUAACUGAGCAA